AGUUCUAGCUCAAAAUGAGUGACCUAUUGGCUAUGGUCACUCCCAAAAUCAGUUGACCGGAAGUUCCGGCGAGUGUUUGUGUGUGUGUGUUAGUGCUCUUGGACAGAUCAAUGGAUAUGAAUGGAGGUGGAACUGGACUCCAGGAUGCAGUGCGUCAAGAUCCUGUCCAGUUCUAGGUAAAAUUGGAUGCUAUGGUCACUCGAAAAGCCAUUUGACCAGAAGUUCCAGCGAAUGAUUGUGUGUGUGAUGGUGCUUUUGGACAGAUGUCUGUACAUGUAUUGGAUUACAUGGAUUACUGGAAUAUAUACAUGGAGAAGUCACCAUUCAAGACUCCAGAGCGUCAUCGAAAA
Molecule: long non-coding RNA, 350 nt
Organism: Drosophila biarmipes
Lineage: Eukaryota; Metazoa; Arthropoda; Insecta; Diptera; Drosophilidae
Exons: 2
Source: RefSeq, a predicted model, not a curated record